This 74-nucleotide transfer RNA is filed under the name Cyanobacteriota bacterium. RNAcentral's name for it is "Cyanobacteria bacterium tRNA-Pro". It matches the Rfam family "tRNA". From Rfam's summary of the family: Transfer RNA (tRNA) molecules are approximately 80 nucleotides in length. Lineage: Bacteria; Bacillati; Cyanobacteriota. RNAcentral also lists the same sequence under 1 other name. The record is from RNAcentral.
CGGGGCGUAGCGCAGCUUGGUAGCGCGCUACUUUGGGGUAGUAGAGGUCGUGGGUUCAAAUCCCGCCGCUCCGA